CUUAAUGAGAGUUUGAUCCUAGCUCAGGGUGAAUGCUGGCGGCGUGGAUAAGUCAUGCAAGUCAAGGGGGCCCGCAAGGGCAACCGGCAGACGAGGUAGUAACACG
Molecule: ribosomal RNA, 106 nt
Filed under: bacterium
Lineage: Bacteria
Description: partial 16S ribosomal RNA
Rfam family: Bacterial small subunit ribosomal RNA
Source: RNAcentral